This 468-nucleotide ribosomal RNA is filed under the name uncultured bacterium. RNAcentral describes it as "partial 16S ribosomal RNA". It matches the Rfam family "Bacterial small subunit ribosomal RNA", at positions 28 to 507 of the family's 1533-position model. The record is from RNAcentral.
GACGAACGCUGGCGGCGUGCUUAACACAUGCAAGUCGAACGGAAAGGCCCUGCUUUUGUGGGGUGCUCGAGUGGCGAACGGGUGAGUAACACGUGAGUAACCUGCCCUUGACUUUGGGAUAACUUCAGGAAACUGGGGCUAAUACCGGAUAGGAGCUCCUGCUGCAUGGUGGGGGUUGGAAAGUUUCGGCGGUUGGGGAUGGACUCGCGGCUUAUCAGCUUGUUGGUGGGGUAGUGGCUUACCAAGGCUUUGACGGGUAGCCGGCCUGAGAGGGUGACCGGCCACAUUGGGACUGAGAUACGGCCCAGACUCCUACGGGAGGCAGCAGUGGGGAAUAGUGCACAAUGGGCGGAACCCUGAUGCAGCAACGCCGCGUGCGGGAUGACGGGCUUCGGGUUGUAAACCGCUUUCGCCUGUGACGAAGCGAGAGUGACGGUAAUGGGUAAAGAAGCACCGGCUAACUACGUG